This 907-nucleotide ribosomal RNA is filed under the name human gut metagenome. RNAcentral's name for it is "bacterial SSU rRNA". It matches the Rfam family "Bacterial small subunit ribosomal RNA", at positions 11 to 919 of the family's 1533-position model. The record is from RNAcentral.
GUUUGAUCCUGGCUCAGGAUGAACGCUGGCGGCGUGCCUAAUACAUGCAAGUCGAACGCUUCACUUCGGUGAAGAGUGGCGAACGGGUGAGUAAUACAUAAGUAACCUGGCAUCUACAGGGGGAUAACUGAUGGAAACGUCAGCUAAGACCGCAUAGGUGUAGAGAUCGCAUGAACUCUAUAUGAAAAGUGCUACGGGACUGGUAGAUGAUGGACUUAUGGCGCAUUAGCUUGUUGGUAGGGUAACGGCCUACCAAGGCGACGAUGCGUAGCCGACCUGAGAGGGUGACCGGCCACACUGGGACUGAGACACGGCCCAGACUCCUACGGGAGGCAGCAGUAGGGAAUUUUCGGCAAUGGGGGAAACCCUGACCGAGCAACGCCGCGUGAAGGAAGAAGUAAUUCGUUAUGUAAACUUCUGUCAUAGAGGAAGAACGGUGGAUAUAGGGAAUGAUAUCCAAGUGACGGUACUCUAUAAGAAAGCCACGGCUAACUACGUGCCAGCAGCCGCGGUAAUACGUAGGUGGCGAGCGUUAUCCGGAAUUAUUGGGCGUAAAGAGGGAGCAGGCGGCACUAAGGGUCUGUGGUGAAAGAUCGAAGCUUAACUUCGGUAAGCCAUGGAAACCGUAGAGCUAGAGUGUGUGAGAGGAUCGUGGAAUUCCAUGUGUAGCGGUGAAAUGCGUAGAUAUAUGGAGGAACACCAGUGGCGAAGGCGACGAUCUGGCGCAUAACUGACGCUCAGUCCCGAAAGCGUGGGGAGCAAAUAGGAUUAGAUACCCUAGUAGUCCACGCCGUAAACGAUGAGUACUAAGUGUUGGGUGUCAAAGCUCAGUGCUGCAGUUAACGCAAUAAGUACUCCGCCUGAGUAGUACGUUCGCAAGAAUGAAACUCAAAGGAAUUGACGGGGG